Molecule: ribosomal RNA, 466 nt
Filed under: uncultured Nitrososphaerota archaeon
Lineage: Archaea; Thermoproteati; Nitrososphaerota
Description: bacterial SSU rRNA
Rfam family: Archaeal small subunit ribosomal RNA
Source: RNAcentral
CGAGAAAACUUUGCAAUGUGCGAAGGCACGACAAGGUUAAUCCGAGUGGUUUCUGCUAAAGGAACCUUUUGUCAGUCCUAGAAACACUGAUGAAUAAGGGGUGGGCAAGUUCUGGUGUCAGCCGCCGCGGUAAAAUCAGCACCUCAAGUGGUCAGGAGGAUUAUUGGGCCUAAAGCAUCCGUAGCCUGCUCUGUAAGUUUCCGGUUAAAUCCAUUAGCUCAACUGAUGGGCCGCCGGAAAAACUGCAAAGCUAGGGAGUGGGAGAGGUAGACGGUACUCGGUAGGAAGGGGUAAAAUCCUUUGAUCAUUGAUGACCACCUGUGGCGAAGGCGUCUACCAGAACACGUCCGACGGUGAGGGAUGAAAGCGUGGGGAGCAAACCGGAUUAGAUACCCGGGUAGUCCCAGCUGUAAACCGUGCAAACUCAGUGAUGCAUUGGCUUGUGGCCAAUGCAGUGCUGCGAGGG